CUAUUUCUAGUUAAUCACUAAAGGGAUGUUUUGUUGUUUAGUCACUAAGUCGUGUCCAACUCUUUCACAGUCCUAUGGGCUGUAGCCCUCCAGGUUCCUCUGUCCAUGGGAUUUUUCAGGUGAGAAUAUUGGUGUGGGUUGCCAUUUCCUUCUCCAGGGGAUCUUCCUGACCCAGGAAAUGAACCCCCGUCUCCUACAUUGGCAGACAGAUUCUUUACCACUGAGCCACCAGAAAUCCUAAAGGGAUGUUACCUAUACACUUAAAUCAUGCAUAAUAGCCUGUAGCUCUGGGAGGCCUGCCUCACAGGUAAUGAACAUUAAGUUAAAAUAAACUUGUUAAGCUCACAAGAAUCAUCCUGACCAGGCCCACCUGUGAAUGGUUGCAGGCAAGAAGAAAUUAACACAUCCCUUUCCGGAGUCUGGCUGGAACCAGAACUUUAGCCCCUCCUCUUUCAGUGUAAAAGAAGCCUGAUUCCUAACUCCGGAAACAUGGUUCUUUGGGACACUAGAGCGUCAUCUUCUGGGUCUGCUGGCUUUCCAAAUCAAGUUGCAAUUCCUUGUCCCAACAACUCAUCUCUUGAUUUAUUGGUCCAUUGUGCAGUGACCAGUAUCAGAUCAGACCAGUAUAAGCUUGGACUCAGUAAAAAACUUUAGUAGAGCCAGCCAGGAGACUAACUGCUUGUGGACAGCCAACCCUGGUUAGGGAAUUUUCCAGUAAGGCCCUAGCAGCUGCUGGGACCACUUGUCUUGAGGAUCUGCCCUUCAGAAUUUCCUAAAGCAGCACUGGCUGCCUCAGUACAUGGCAGCUGGAAUAAGGGAUCAGCAUUUGGUAGUCGACGGGCUCAAUGCAAUAGGAACCAGGGUGGCCUGGCACAGAUGCACUGAUGAGGGAUGCACUAAAAGCAGCUACAAGUGGCUGCAUCAGGAAGGAUCAAGGGCAGGCUGCAGCAACGGGCCAACACAAGGACGUCAUCUCACCAAGGGCUGCGUUUGAGGUAGGGCUACUCAAAUUAGGUGAAAGCCCUAAGAAUUGCCUGGUCUCUGGAGCAGCGUCAGCAAGGGACAGCUUCGUGCUGGGCAGGCUGACCAGGUGCUGGAAAGGUACAAGGCUUGGCAAUGAGACCUUAGCAACUGUGAGGAAAACUGAAGCUUGGGCUUGCACAUUGGUGCUUGCCUUCUCUCUUGCUGCUUUUGGAACCCAUCUACCAAACAAAGCCCAGGCUAGCCUUCUGGAGGCUAGCCCGGUCGACAGCCAACACCAACAUGAGGGAAGUCCUCUCAGACCAUCCCAUUUACAGAACGUUGCCACCACAGGAAUGCAGCUGCAUGAAGUGAUCCCCAGGCAAAACCAACAUGGAACCACCCACCUGCGCCCAGCCUAAUUCACUGACCCAUAGAAUCAUGGGUAAUUAAAA
This is a long non-coding RNA of Bos taurus (domestic cattle), 1415 nucleotides long. The record is from Ensembl. Lineage: Eukaryota; Metazoa; Chordata; Mammalia; Artiodactyla; Bovidae.